CCCUUAGAGUUUGAUCCUGGCUCAGGACGAACGCUGGCGGCGUGCUUAACACAUGCAAGUCGAGCGGAAAGGCCCCUUCGGGGGUACUCGAGCGGCGAACGGGUGAGUAACACGUGGGUAAUUUACCCCUGACAUCGGGAUACUCCGGGGAAACCCGGCCCAAUACCGAAUAAGGUGCGGAGACGCAGGUCGCCGUACCAAAGGUAGCUUCGGCCUCCGGUCAGGGAUGAGCCCGCGGCCCAUUAGCUUGUUGGCGGGGUAACGGCCCACCAAGGCUACGAUGGGUAGCUGGUCUGAGAGGACGAUCAGCCACACUGGGACUGAGACACGGCCCAGACUCCUACGGGAGGCAGCAGUGGGGAAUCUUGCGCAAUGGGCGGAAGCCUGACGCAGCAACGCCGCGUGCGGGAAGAAGGCCUUCGGGUCGUAAACCGCUUUCAGGGGGGACGAAGCUUCCGGGGUUAAUAGCCCACGGGGUGACGGUACCCUCAGAAGAAGGACCGGCUAACUACGUGCCAGCAGCCGCGGUGAUACGUAGGGUCCUAGCGUUGUCCGGAAUCAUUGGGCGUAAAGAGCGUGUAGGCGGCUUGGUAGGUCCCGUGUUAAAGCCUGCGGCUCAACCGCAGAAUCGCACGGGAAACCAUCUGGCUCGAGUCCGGAAGAGGAGAGCGGAAUUCCUGGUGUAGCGGUGAAAUGCGCAGAUAU
RNAcentral lists this ribosomal RNA (705 nucleotides) under uncultured bacterium. RNAcentral describes it as "bacterial SSU rRNA". It matches the Rfam family "Bacterial small subunit ribosomal RNA", at positions 1 to 697 of the family's 1533-position model. The record is from RNAcentral.